CGGAUCGCGGCGACGUGGGCGGUUCGCCACCGGCGACGUCGCGAGAAGUCCACUGAACCUUAUCAUUUAGAGGAAGGAGAAGUCGUAACAAGGUUUCCGUAGGUGAACCUGCGGAAGGAUCAUUGUCGAAUCCUGCACAGCAGAACGACCCGCGAACCGUCGAAUCGCAACCUUCUGGACGAGAGCCGGGCGGCCUCCGCCUUCCCCGGUGCCUCGGCCGAAACAACAAACCCCGGCGCGGCACGCGCCAAGGAAAACUCGAACGGAAUUGGUGUGCCCGGACGAUAGUGCAUCGUCCCGGUGCCGCCGGUCUUCCGGGAAAAUCUCGAAUGACUCUCGGCAACGGAUAUCUCGGCUCUCGCAUCGAUGAAGAACGUAGCGAAAUGCGAUACUUGGUGUGAAUUGCAGAAUCCCGUGAACCAUCGAGUCUUUGAACGCAAGUUGCGCCCGAGGCCACCCGGCCGAGGGCACGUCUGCCUGGGCGUCACGCGAACGCCGCUCCGCCCCCUCGCAAGAGCGCGGACAGGAGCGAAYGUUGGCCCCCCGUGACCCGGCUCACGGUCGGCUUAAAACGGAUCCCCCCUCGUUGCCCCGCGACGCGAUCGGUGGUGGUUGACGGCAACCCUUACCCGCGAUUGGACGACGCGGCCGAGGGGCACGGGGGAAACGAACCCUUCGGAGAGAACUCCACGAGCGACCUCAGGUCAGGCGGGGCCACCCGCUGAGUUUAAGCAUAUCAAUAAGCGGAGGAGAAGAAACUUACAAGGA
RNAcentral lists this small RNA (768 nucleotides) under Tinomiscium petiolare. RNAcentral's name for it is "eukaryotic LSU rRNA". The stretch from base 332 to 487 matches the Rfam family "5.8S ribosomal RNA". Lineage: Eukaryota; Viridiplantae; Streptophyta; Magnoliopsida; Ranunculales; Menispermaceae. The record is from RNAcentral.